AUGGCUCUUGCACACUUGAGUGAGCUGGAUAAUGAGCCUGGAAAGCCUGUCCUGUGCUUGGCCAGUCCCAGAACCCACCCAGGCAUGAACCACGACUGGAAAUACUCCUCUGUGCUGCCUAGAGAUGCUGCUGUUACCUGGCCCCAGACAGCUCCGGACACUCUGAGUCAGCGGUGGGGGGCGAUAGACCCACCCUGGGGAUCCAGAAGCCCCCCCAUCCCAGGGGAGCCAGACACCCCGCCGGCUCCGGGCAGAGCCUCCCCGCCGGAGCACAUGUUGCUGCAGCCGGUUCGAGCCAGCGCUCCGCAGCCGUGCCUGCCGCCUUCGGGAUUCCUCCUGCCCCUCCUGCCCUCCCCAGCCCAGCCGCAGAGGGGCUGGAAGAGUGGGUGAAGUUGCUCCAACCCCUCCAUCCCCUUCUUCCUUCUCCUCCUCCUCUCUCCCAGGAAAGGUAAGAGAAGCAGUGGCUACUCUCCAGUUGCUCCUGCACCUUU
This 491-nucleotide long non-coding RNA is filed under the name Parus major (Great Tit). RNAcentral describes it as "lncRNA (ENSPMJG00000002649.1)". The record is from RNAcentral. Lineage: Eukaryota; Metazoa; Chordata; Aves; Passeriformes; Paridae.